GCAAGUCGAGCGGUAGAGAGGAGCUUGCUUCUCUUGAGAGCGGCGGACGGGUGAGUAAUGCCUAGGAAUCUGCCUAGUGGUGGGGGAUAACGUUCGGAAACGGACGCUAAUACCGCAUACGUCCUACGGGAGAAAGCGGGGGACCUUCGGGCCUCGCGCCAUUAGAUGAGCCUAGGUCGGAUUAGCUAGUUGGUGAGGUAAAGGCUCACCAAGGCGACGAUCCGUAACUGGUCUGAGAGGAUGAUCAGUCACACUGGAACUGAGACACGGUCCAGACUCCUACGGGAGGCAGCAGUGGGGAAUAUUGGACAAUGGGGGAAACCCUGAUCCAGCCAUGCCGCGUGUGUGAAGAAGGUCUUCGGAUUGUAAAGCACUUUAAGUUGGGAGGAAGGGUAGUAACUUAAUACGUUGCUACUUUGACGUUACCGACAGAAUAAGCACCGGCUAACUCUGUGCCAGCAGCCGCGGUAAUACAGAGGGUGCAAGCGUUAAUCGGAAUUACUGGGCGUAAAGCGCGCGUAGGUGGUUUGUUAAGUUGGAUGUGAAAGCCCCGGGCUCAACCUGGGAACUGCAUCCAAAACUGGCAAGCUAGAGUACGGUAGAGGGUGGUGGAAUUUCCUGUGUAGCGGUGAAAUGCGUAGAUAUAGGAAGGAACACCAGUGGCGAAGGCGACCACCUGGACUGAUACUGACACUGAGGUGCGAAAGCGUGGGGAGCAAACAGGAUUAGAUACCCUGGUAGUCCACGCCGUAAACGAUGUCAACUAGCCGUUGGGUUCCUUGAGAACUUAGUGGCGCAGCUAACGCAUUAAGUUGACCGCCUGGGGAGUACGGCCGCAAGGUUAAAACUCAAAUGAAUUGACGGGGGCCCGCACAAGCGGUGGAGCAUGUGGUUUAAUU
This 899-nucleotide ribosomal RNA is filed under the name Pseudomonas cuatrocienegasensis. Its description in RNAcentral is "bacterial SSU rRNA". It matches the Rfam family "Bacterial small subunit ribosomal RNA", at positions 57 to 951 of the family's 1533-position model. The record is from RNAcentral. Lineage: Bacteria; Pseudomonadati; Pseudomonadota; Gammaproteobacteria; Pseudomonadales; Pseudomonadaceae.